UNAAAGGUUUGGUCCUGGCCUUUUUAUUAGCCCCUAGCAGAUUUACACAUGCAAACAUCCCUACCCCGGUGAAAAUGCCCUCCAUGUCUCANNUUGACCUAAAGGAGCAGGUAUCAAGCUCACUGAUNGUAGUUGCUCAUGACGCCUUGCCUAGCCACACCCCUACGGGAUACAGCAGUGAUUAAAAUUAGGNCUAUGAACGAAAGUUCGACCAAGUUAUGCUANGUAUGAAGAGUUGGUUAAUCUCGUGCCAGCCACCGCGGUCAUACGAUUAACUCUAGUUAAUNAAAGAACGGCGUAAAGCGUGAUAAAGANGUGAAUAAACUAAUAAAACUAAACUUAAACUAAGCCGUAAAAAGCCCUAGUUACAGUNAAAAUAACCNUAACGAAAGUAGUUUUAAGACAUCUGAUUUCACGAUAGCUAAGGCCCAAACUGGGAUUAGAUACCCCAUUAUGCUUAGCCCUAAACAUAGAUAUUCAAAUAACAAGACUAUUCGCCAGAGAACUACUAGCCACCGCUUAAAACUCAAAGGACUUGGCGGUGCUUUACAUCCCCCUAGAGGAGCCUGUUCUAUAAUCGAUAAUCCCCGAUAUACCCUACCACCUUUUGCNAUCAUCAGCCUAUAUACCGCCAUCUUCAGCAAACCCUAACAAGGAUGAGAAGUAAGCACAAAGAUUNAAACGUAAAGACGUUAGGUCAAGGUGUAGCCCAUAAGGUGGAAAGUAAUGGGCUACAUUUUCUAUACUNNUAGAAUAGAUNACCCACGAUAGCUUUCAUGAAACUUAAAGCUCAAGGCGGAUUUAGAAGUAAGCUAGGAAUAGAGAGCCUAACUGAACUGGGCAAUAAAGCACGCACACACCGCCCGUCACCCUCUUCAAAUUCCUCACACAAACACCCAUUACAUAANAACCUGUUUAUAAGAGCAUGAGAAGAGAUAAGUCGUAACAAGGUAAGCAUACUGGAAAGUGUGCUUGGAGUAAU
RNAcentral lists this non-coding RNA (982 nucleotides) under Exilisciurus exilis (least pygmy squirrel). RNAcentral describes it as "12S ribosomal RNA". It matches the Rfam family "Bacterial small subunit ribosomal RNA". The record is from RNAcentral. Lineage: Eukaryota; Metazoa; Chordata; Mammalia; Rodentia; Sciuridae.